Molecule: ribosomal RNA, 460 nt
Filed under: uncultured bacterium
Lineage: Bacteria
Description: partial 16S ribosomal RNA
Rfam family: Bacterial small subunit ribosomal RNA
Source: RNAcentral
CCUACGGGUGGCAGCAGUGAGGAAUAUUGGUCAAUGGGCGCUAGCCUGAACCAGCCAAGUAGCGUGAAGGAUGACUGCCCUAUGGGUUGUAAACUUCUUUUAUAUGGGAAUAAAGUGCAGCAUGUAUACGGUUUUGUAUGUACCUUAUGAAUAAGGAUCGGCUAACUCCGUGCCAGCAGCCGCGGUAAUACGGAGGAUCCGAGCGUUAUCCGGAUUUAUUGGGUUUAAAGGGAGCGUAGGUGGAUUGUUAAGUCAGUUGUGAAAGUUUGCGGCUCAACCGUAAAAUUGCAGUUGAUACUGGCAGCCUUGAGUACAGUAGAGGUGGGCGGAAUUCGUGGUGUAGCGGUGAAAUGCUUAGAUAUCACGAAGAACUCCGAUUGCGAAGGCAGCUUGCUGGACUGUAACUGACACUGAUGCUCGAAAGUGUGGGUAUCAAACAGGAUUAGAUACCCUUGUAGUC